This 230-nucleotide ribosomal RNA is filed under the name uncultured bacterium. RNAcentral describes it as "partial 16S ribosomal RNA". It matches the Rfam family "Bacterial small subunit ribosomal RNA", at positions 125 to 353 of the family's 1533-position model. The record is from RNAcentral.
CCUGCCGAUGACUCGGGGAUAGCCUUUCGAAAGAAAGAUUAAUACCCGAUGGCAUAGUUCUUCCGCAUGGUGGAACUAAUUAAAGAAUUUCGGUCAUCGAUGGGGAUGCGUUCCAUUAGGUUGUUGGCGGGGUAACGGCCCACCAAGCCUUCGAUGGAUAGGGGUUCUGAGAGGAAGGUCCCCCACAUUGGAACUGAGACACGGUCCAAACUCCUACGGGAGGCAGCAUG